This 301-nucleotide ribosomal RNA is filed under the name uncultured bacterium. Its description in RNAcentral is "partial 16S ribosomal RNA". It matches the Rfam family "Bacterial small subunit ribosomal RNA", at positions 509 to 807 of the family's 1533-position model. The record is from RNAcentral.
CAGCCGCCGCGGUAAGACAGAGGGUGCAAGCGUUGUUCGGAAUUACUGGGCGUAAAGCGCACGUAGGCGGCUUUGUAAGUUAGAGGUGAAAGCCCGGAGCUCAACCCCGGAAUUGCCUUUAAGACUGCAGAGCUAGCAGGUGAGAGAGGUGAGUGGAAUUCCGAGUGUAGAGGUGAAAUUCGUAGAUAUUCGGAAGAACACCAGUGGCGAAGGCGGCUCACUGGCUCAUACUGGACGCUGAGGUGCGAAAGCGUGGGGAGCAAACAGGAUUAGAUACCCCGGUAGUCCCUGUCUCUUAUAC